RNA transcript from Arachis stenosperma, 6382 nucleotides. It is a transcript of the gene named nuclear pore complex protein GP210, with no coding region annotated. The record is from RefSeq and is a predicted model, not a curated record. The transcript is spliced from 37 exons. NCBI's taxonomy places the organism in Eukaryota, Viridiplantae, Streptophyta, Magnoliopsida, Fabales, Fabaceae.
AUCAAAAUCACUUCACUCUCACAGUUCCAUACUCACUUCAAUUCAAUUCGCUUCACUUUGACUCAGAUUCUUACCAUAUUCGUCAACGAAAUGCAAAAUCCAGUGGUGUAGUAGUUCAUGAUCGAAACUAGCUAGUUCAUGUGGGAGAUGAUGGCAAACUUGGCUUCUUUUUUGUUGCUGAGCUGUGUGGUGGUGCUGAUCGCAUUUGUGCAUGAAACGUUGCCGUAUGGUGGUUCUUCUGGACCGCACAUUGCAGAUGUUAACCUUCUUUUGCCUCCCAAAAUGACUUACCCUGUCGAGUACAGGCUUCAAGGAAGUGAUGGUUGCUUCAAAUGGUCAUGGGAUCAUCAUGAUAUACUAUCUGUACUGCCGGAGUACAACUCUAGCAGCAAGUGCUCAACUAGUGCAAGGCUGCGAUCAAUUGCCCCUUAUAGUGGUCGGAAGGAGACUGCCGUUUAUGCUGCUGAUGUAAAUACUGGGGUUGUAGUUCGAUGCAAAGUCUUCAUUGAUAAUAUAUCCAGGAUCCAGAUAUUCCAUAAUUCUAUUAAGCUUGAUUUGGAUGGACUUGCUACACUACGCAUCCGUGCCUUUGACAGUGAAGAAAAUGUGUUUUCCUCAUUAGUUGGCUUACAGUUUAUGUGGAACCUUAUGCCUGAAGUCAGUGGAUUGCCUCACCACCUUGUUAAUGUUCCUCUAAAGGAUUCUCCCCUUAGUGAUUGUGGAGGACUCUGUGGUGACUUGGAUAUACAAAUAAUGCUUGAAGAAAAUGGUGUAUUUUCAGAUCUAUAUGUAGUAAGGGGAGUUGAGAUUGGCCAUGAGCUUGUCUCUGUGCUUUUGCUUGAGCCACAGUUGAAGAAUUUGUCUGAUGAGAUUGUUCUCACUGUAGCUGAAGCUAUGUCACUUGAUCCUCCCUCACCAGUUUUUGUCCUUGUUGGUGCAGUCAUUCCCUAUACACUUAAAGUCACUCGGGGAAAUGUUCCUCAAGUGGUUGCUUUACCGUCACCACAUCAUCACUGGUCUGUCUCAAAUGGUUCGGUUGCUCAGGUUGACUCAAAGACAGGAUUAGCAUAUGCAUGGAACUUGGGAAUGACAGCUAUCAUUGUUGAAGACAUAAGGGUUGCUGGUCAUGUACAAGUUUCUUCACUAAACGUCGUCCUACCAGCUUCGUUAAGUUUAUUUCUAGCACCUUUAUCUAGUACUGGUGAUCCUGUGGAAGAAAUCGACUCCAUACCUCAAACGGCUCGUUGGUAUGUAGUGUCUGGCCAUCAGUAUCUUAUCCAGAUAAAGGUUUUUGCACAUGCUCAUGAUGCACAAGAGAUUUAUAUCACCGAGAAUGAUGAUAUUAAGGUUUAUGAUGACCACAAAUACUUUAAAACAUUUUUGGUUUCGAAUGAUAUUGCUGUCAAACAUGGCUGGCGGAAUUCUAAAAUCCUUAAAGCUUAUUCCCCUGGACUUGGAAAAUUUACAGCUUCUUUGACCUAUCCAGCUGGGACCGACAACAAAAAGGAGAUUAUAACAGUUGUGCAAGAGAUUAUGAUUUGUGAUCAAGUGAUGUUCACUUUGGAAAAUGAAAAUAGAACCAUCUUAUUGCCUUGGGCCCCUGGUGUUUAUCAAGAUGUGGAGUUGAAGGCCAUAGGAGGUUGUGCAAAAGCAGUGAGUGACUACAAAUGGUUGUCUUCAGACACAUCUACUGUUUCUGUAUCAGCAUUUGGUAUUGUUCAGGCAAAAAAGCCUGGUAAAGCUACCAUUAAAGUGUUUUCUAUAUAUGAUUCACUAAAUUAUGACGAGGUCCUCAUUGAAGUCUCCAUCCCAUCUUCUAUGGUUGUGCUUCACAAUUUUCCAGUAGAAACUGUUGUUGGAUCACACCUUCAAGCUGCUGUGACAAUGAAAGCAGCAAACGGUGCCUUCUUUUAUAGAUGCAAUGUCUUUAAUUCUUUGAUUAAAUGGAAAGCUGGAAGCGAGUCUUUUGUAAUUGUCAAUUCAACUCGGGACUUAUCAUAUUUGGAAACAGCGACAAAUACUCAGUUCCAUUCAUCAGCUGAUGGUUUUCCUUGCUCUUGGACACAUUUAUAUGCUUUGAAUCCUGGUCAUGCUGUGAUCCAUGCCAUACUUUCUAAAGAAUAUAAUGAAUACAGUCAUGGUCCUGUUGUCUUAAAAGCAUCAUUUCGUGUUGCGGCAUAUGUACCCCUUAUUGUGCAACAGGCUAGUGAUGGAAACAAAUUUGGUGGUUACUGGCUUGACUUGGCUCAAACAAAAAGUAAUAAGCAAUCUCAUACGUUAGAGGAGUUAUACCUUGUCCCUGGGACAAGUUUAGACAUAUUACUUGUUGGUGGACCUGAACAGUGGGACAAAGGUGUUGAUUUUAUUGAAACUGUGAAUGUUAUACGUCAGGAUAAUGCUCUGGUUGAAAAUGGAGUUCUUGUGCAUAGGUUAUCUGGUAGCUAUAACAGUUUGUAUGGAGUUUCAUGUCAAACACUGGGAACCUUUAAACUUCUUUUCAAACGUGGGAACUUGGUGGGAGAUGACCAUCCUCUUCCUUCAGUAGCUGAAGUUUGGCUGUCGGUUACUUGUAGCAUUCCUUCUCAUAUUGUAGUCAUUGCUGACGAACCAGUGAAUGAACGCGUAAUUAUUAGAGCUGCAGCUCAAGCUGACCGUAGUUCGGGGCAACUUCGAAAUUCCCCUGUUACUGUGGCAAAUGGACGCACUAUUCGGGUAUCUGCUGCUGGUAUUAGUGAUUCUGGAGAACCUUUUGCAAACUCAUCUUCCCUCAGUUUGACGUGGGAGCUUAGCAGUUGUGAGGGACUAGCAUAUUGGGAUUAUGCUUUUGAUAUUGUGAAGUCCAACAACUGGGAGAGAUUCUUGGUCUUGCAAAAUGAAUCAGGAUUGUGCAUUGUUCGUGCUACUGUUACUGGCUUCAUUGGCAGCUUGGAAUACAAUACAUCUCACCUCUUUCGUGAAAGAGAAAAUUUGCUAACAGAUGCAAUUCGGUUACAGCUAGUUUCUACCCUAAGAGUUGAUCCAGAGUUCAACUUGAUAUAUUUCAAUCCUAAGGCAAAGGUAAAUUUGUCAAUUACUGGUGGGAGCUGUUUCUUGGAAGCUGUUACAAAUGAUUCUCAAGUUGUGGAAGUCACCCAGCCACCAUCAGGACUAGAAUGCUUUCAACUAAUUCUCUCUCCAAAAGGAUUAGGGAUAGCUAAUCUGACUUUGUAUGACAUUGGGCUAACUCCUCCACCAAGAGCAUCUGCCCUUGUCCAAGUAGCAGAUAUAGAAUGGAUUAAGAUCGCAUCAGGAGAGGAGAUUAGCUUGAUGGAGGGAGGUUUGCAAACUAUUGACUUAUUGGCUGGUACUAAUGAUGGAAGGAAUUUUCUCGCUUCUCAGUUUGUUUACAUGACUCUUCAUGUACAUGUUGAGGAUGGUAUACUUGAGCUGCUGGAUUCCGACAAUUUCUCAAGUCUUGUAGGUGGACAUGUUAAUGCACCAAGUUUUAAAAUAAGGGGGAGACAUCUUGGAAUUACAACCCUUCAUGUCAGUGCUGUUCAACAUUCUGGACAUAUAAUACAGAGUCAAGCUAUUAAGGUGGAAGUAUAUGCACCACCAGUAAUACACCCUCGUGAUAUCUUCCUGCUUCCUGGUGCGUCAUAUGUGCUGGCCAUGAAAGGAGGCCCAACUCUUGGUGUUAACGUUGAGUAUUUGAUUGAAAAUGAUAAAAUUGCAAGUAUUGAUAGAUAUUCUGGAAGGCUCUUGGCAAUAUCUGUUGGGAACACUACAAUUAUUGCCAGUGUGCUUGUGAACGGGAACAAUGUUAUUUGUGAAGCACAGAGCAGUUUAAGGGUGGGAGUUCCAUCUACUGUCAAAUUGCAUGUGCAGAGUGAACAACUUGGGGUUGGCCGCAAAUUGCCAAUUUAUCCAUUAUUUCCCGAGGGAAACUUGUUUUCAUUUUAUGAGCUGUGCAAAAAUUACCACUGGACUAUUGAAGAUGAAAAGAUAUUGAGUUUCAAAAUGGCAGAAAGCUUGCUUAGUGCUUCCGAAGAAAGUCAAGUUAGUGGUUCCGGGGAUGAGAAUGACCUUGGCUUUAUUAAUGUCUUGUAUGGAAGGUCUGCAGGCAAGACCAGUGUUGCUGUGUCAUUUUCGUGUGAACUCUCAACUUCUCGUUCAAAGCCGCAGUCAAGGUUUUACAGUUCAUCUUUAUCAGUGACAGUGGUUCCUGAUCUUCCCUUGGCUUUGGGGGUCCCAAUAACCUGGAUUCUUCCUCCCCAUUAUGAAACUACAAGCCUAUUGCCUUCAUCAUCAGAAUCUUAUUUGCAGUUUGAUAGUCAUAAUCGUAAAGGAGCCAUUAUUUAUUCUUUAUUGAAAAGUUUGGAGAAAAGUUCUUUGCAAAAGGAUGACAUAUCCAUUGAUGGGGACAGAAUUAAAACAACUGCAAGUAAUAAUCUUGCCUGCAUUCAAGCUAAAGAUCGUAACACAGGAAGAACAGAGAUAGCUUCUUGUGUAAAGGUUGCUGAGGUCUGUCAGAUAAGAAUAGCCAAUAAGGAGGUUCUUCUCAGUGUUGUUAACCUUGCUGUUGGUGCAGAAUUUGAUCUUCCAACUAGCUUUUAUGAUUAUUUAGGAAAUCCUUUUUAUGAAGCAUACAAUGCAGUGCCUUUUUAUGUUGAAAGUAACUACCCUGAUAUUCUUCACACAAACAGAACAGCUGAUGGAAAAGGGACUGUACAUGUCAAGGCAAUUCGACAAGGUAAAGCUCUUGUGCGUGUAUCAAUUGGUGAAGCUCCACAAAAAUCAGAUUAUGUGCUUAUUAAAGUUGGUGCUCAUAUACAUCCUCAAAAUCCAGUCAUUCACAUUGGAAGCCCUCUUAACUUCAGCGUAAAAGGUUUGAGCGAUACUGUUUCUGGACAGUGGUUUACCACAAAUGGAAGUGUCAUAUCGGUUGACCCAAUAUCUGGGAUGGUCAAAGCUAUUGGGGAAGGUUCAGCCCAAGUGUCUUUCCAGUAUGCAAGAUCAAAACUGCAAACAACAAUUACAGUGUUAAAAGGAGAUACCAUUUCUGUUGAUGCUCCGAAAGAGAUGUUAACUAAUGUUCCAUACCCUACAAAAGGAUACAACUUCCCCGUGAAGCUAAGCAUUAGUGCUGGUUCACCUGGAGGAAACAAUGGAGUUUCGUUUGAUUGUAGAGUAGAUCCACCAUACGUGGGGUACGUGAAGCCAUGGCUGGAUUUGGACUCUGGCAACACAUACUGUCUUUUCUUCCCUUACUCACCAGAGCAUUUGGUGCACUCGGUACCCAAGUUAGAAGGCUCAAGACGAGACAUAUCUCUCUCCAUAUAUGCUUCCCUUAGACAACAUAAUCGUAUUUCGGGAUCUGCUUCAGCACUUUUUAUUGGAGGGUUUUCUGUAAAGGAGAUGGGCAAGAAUUCAAUGCAACUGAAUCUGUCUCCAGUCUCUAACAGAAGUAGUAUAACCAUCUUGGGAAAUACUGAUGUUGAAAUUCAAUGGCAUCACCAAGAUUUGGUUAUGGUUAGUCCAAUUCAUAAAGAAGAUUUUGGCAUUCGAGGCCUGGCACAAUAUGAGGUGAAAGUGCUGAAAAACAAGAGAUUCCAGGACAAAAUCAUCGUUACACUUCCAGCUACUGGCCAGAGAGUAGAAAUAGGUGUAAACUAUGAACCUGAGGAAACAGCGCCGUCCAGUGGAACCUUUGAUAAAGCCCUCAUUGCAAUCAUACUGGGGACACUUCUGCUGUCAACUCUCAUAUUUUGGAUCUUUGGCUUCUUGGAUGGACGAGUGAGAUCUCAGCGAACCAGUGCCCUGGCUACCACAAGCAGCGCCACAGCAGCACCUACCACACCGGAAAGAAGCAGCCCUGCCAUUGUAAAGGAAAUGUCUCCUCGGACGCCGCAACCUUUUGUAGAAUAUGUGAGGAGAACUAUUGAUGAAACUCCAUACUACAAGCGAGAAAGGAGAAGGGUUAAUCCACAGAAUACGUUUUAGGGUUUUCAUGGGCUAAUUGACACCUCCCACAAUUUUCAUCACACAUAGGUGGAGUGCACUCUUGCUCAUUGUUGUAUUAUAAUCUUCUCAAUGACAAUUUUGGUAAUUAGUAGUGUAAAUUUAAGAAUGUAUGCUAGCAUUCUGUAUUAAUUAGUGUCCAUUUAUAUGUAUGGUUGCUAGGUUAAUGUUGUUGUGAAUGUGAUGUUACCAUGCACGUGAAAGGGUGGAAACUAAUAAACAUUCCCGGGGAGAUUAAAAGCACAACCAUAUAAAUAAAAAAAAGGCGUCCAAACAUAAGAGACGGUAGAAGUAAAAUGCGCUGAACCAAUGAAGCAUGAAAUAAAUAAGGCUGAAAAAUACGACAUGCGUUUUGGGUGAUAGGACUGUUGCUGGCGUGAGU